GUUAGCGGCGGACGGGUGAGUAACACGUGGAUAACCUACCUAUAAGACUGGGAUAACUUCGGGAAACCGGAGCUAAUACCGGAUAAUAUUUUGAACCGCAUGGUUCAAAAGUGAAAGACGGUCUUGCUGUCACUUAUAGAUGGAUCCGCGCUGCAUUAGCUAGUUGGUAAGGUAACGGCUUACCAAGGCAACGAUGCAUAGCCGACCUGAGAGGGUGAUCGGCCACACUGGAACUGAGACACGGUCCAGACUCCUACGGGAGGCAGCAGUAGGGAAUCUUCCGCAAUGGGCGAAAGCCUGACGGAGCAACGCCGCGUGAGUGAUGAAGGUCUUCGGAUCGUAAAACUCUGUUAUUAGGGAAGAACAUAUGUGUAAGUAACUGUGCACAUCUUGACGGUACCUAAUCAGAAAGCCACGGCUAACUACGUGCCAGCAGCCGCGGUAAUACGUAGGUGGCAAGCGUUAUCCGGAAUUAUUGGGCGUAAAGCGCGCGUAGGCGGUUUUUUAAGUCUGAUGUGAAAGCCCACGGCUCAACCGUGGAGGGUCAUUGGAAACUGGAAAACUUGAGUGCAGAAGAGGAAAGUGGAAUUCCAUGUGUAGCGGUGAAAUGCGCAGAGAUAUGGAGGAACACCAGUGGCGAAGGCGACUUUCUGGUCUGUAACUGACGCUGAUGUGCGAAAGCGUGGGGAUCAAACAGGAUUAGAUACCCUGGUAGUCCACGCCGUAAACGAUGAGUGCUAAGUGUUAGGGGGUUUCCGCCCCUUAGUGCUGCAGCUAACGCAUUAAGCACUCCGCCUGGGGAGUACGACCGCAAGGUUGAAACUCAAAGGAAUUGACGGGGACCCGCACAAGCGGUGGAGCAUGUGGUUUAAUUCGAAGCAACGCGAAGAACCUUACCAAAUCUUGACAUCCUUUGACAACUCUAGAGAUAGAGCUUUCCCCUUCGGGGGACAAAGUGACAGGUGGUGCAUGGUUGUCGUCAGCUCGUGUCGUGAGAUGUUGGGUUAAGUCCCGCAACGAGCGCAACCCUUAAGCUUAGUUGCCAUCAUUAAGUUGGGCACUCUAAGUUGACUGCCGGUGACAAACCGGAGGAAGGUGGGGAUGACGUCAAAUCAUCAUGCCCCUUAUGAUUUGGGCUACACACGUGCUACAAUGGACAAUACAAAGGGCAGCGAAACCGCGAGGUCAAGCAAAUCCCAUAAAGUUGUUCUCAGUUCGGAUUGUAGUCUGCAACUCGACUACAUGAAGCUGGAAUCGCUAGUAAUCGUAGAUCAGCAUGCUACGGUGAAUACGUUCCCGGGUCUUGUACACACCGCCCGUCACACCACGAGAGUUUGUAACACCCGAAGCCGGUGGAGUAACCUUUUAGGAGCUAGCC
RNAcentral lists this ribosomal RNA (1378 nucleotides) under Staphylococcus aureus. Its description in RNAcentral is "16S ribosomal RNA". It matches the Rfam family "Bacterial small subunit ribosomal RNA", at positions 91 to 1454 of the family's 1533-position model. Lineage: Bacteria; Bacillati; Bacillota; Bacilli; Caryophanales; Staphylococcaceae. The record is from RNAcentral.